AGAAUCAACGCUGGCGGCGUGCCUAACACAUGCAAGUCGCACGAGAAAGGGUAGCAAUACCUGAGUACAGUGGCGCACGGGUGAGUAACACGUGAAUAAUCUACCUCCGAGUGGGGAAUAACCUAGGGAACCUGGGCUAAUACCGCAUAACACUUACGAGUCAAAGCAGCAAUGCGCUUGGAGAGGAGUUCGCGGCAGAUUAGCUAGUUGGUGGGGUAAUGGCCCACCAAGGCGAUGAUCUGUA
Molecule: ribosomal RNA, 244 nt
Filed under: uncultured bacterium
Lineage: Bacteria
Description: partial small subunit ribosomal RNA
Rfam family: Bacterial small subunit ribosomal RNA
Source: RNAcentral